Non-coding RNA from Pelobates cultripes (western spadefoot toad), 209 nucleotides. Lineage: Eukaryota; Metazoa; Chordata; Amphibia; Anura; Pelobatidae. The record is from the annotation of a GenBank genome assembly.
GGGAUGGGGUGACUAGUGACAGAGUGAGGAAGGGGGUGACUAGGGACAGAGGGGGUGACUAGUGACAGAGUGAGGGGGUGACUAGUGACAGUCACCCCUUCUCUCUCUGUCACUAGUCACUCCCUCCCUCUGUCACCAGUCACUCCCUCCCUCUGUCACCAGUCACCUCUUCCCUCCCUCACUUUGCCACUAGUCAUCUCUUCCCUCCC